Molecule: non-coding RNA, 97 nt
Organism: Capsicum annuum
Lineage: Eukaryota; Viridiplantae; Streptophyta; Magnoliopsida; Solanales; Solanaceae
Source: Rfam
AUGAGCCGUAUGAUAGGAAACUAUCUCCUUCUGUUUGGAGAGCACUCAGCUAUUAGUUAGUACCCCCUUGGUUUCAAGGUGUACCUUUUCACUCUAU